This 197-nucleotide ribosomal RNA is filed under the name uncultured bacterium. RNAcentral describes it as "partial 16S ribosomal RNA". It matches the Rfam family "Bacterial small subunit ribosomal RNA", at positions 328 to 539 of the family's 1533-position model. The record is from RNAcentral.
ACGCUCGACACCUACGGAGGCAGCAGUGGGGAAUAUUGCACAAUGGGGGAAACCCUGAUGCAGCGACGCCGCGUGAAGGAAGAAGUAUCUCGGUAUGUAAACUUCUAUCAGCAGGGAAGAAAAUGACGGUACCUGACUAAGAAGCCCCGGCUAACUACGUGCCAGAAGCCGCGGUAAUCUGAGCGGGCUGGCAAGGC